Corvus hawaiiensis (hawaiian crow) is the source of this 1043-nucleotide long non-coding RNA. RefSeq lists it as uncharacterized. The record is from RefSeq and is a predicted model, not a curated record. Lineage: Eukaryota; Metazoa; Chordata; Aves; Passeriformes; Corvidae. The transcript has 2 exons.
UUACACAGCAAAUCACCCUGCUGCCCCUUGCAACAAGCUCCCGUGGCUGCGCUGAGCACUGGCCACCCAUGAGAUCCAGCCACCAUGGAACAGCUUUAUACAUCCCUGUCAGGCAGGGAUGCUCACUGUGUCCCACUGACACUACCAGGGUGAUGUUGAGGCAAGCAAAAUGUAGAGCAACCCAGGCUGGAACUUCCUGCAGAAAUUGAGGGACAUCUGUCCUCUGCAGCAGGCUUGCCCUUGGAUUGCACCAUCUUUCCACCUCGGAAGGCUCCAAAUCACUUUAAGAGACAGGAAAAUGAAGAUGCAACAAGGCUGCAAAAGGGAGCACUUGACAUUAACCACCUCCCUGCAACAGGCAUCCAGAGAAUACAAGCAGUUGGGGGGAAAAAUGGAGAAUUUGGGUCACCAAAUUCAGUGCCCUGAGGCUGUGGGCAACCAGGCAGCGAUGCUUGUUACAUGGGGGCCACAAAAGGCGCAGAUAACACCGCAGCACCAAGAACAAACUUCAGACUUAUUGUAAGAGCCACAGCCAUGAUCUGCCACAGACAGGACAGAAGAGAUGAAAAGCAUGUCCACUGUUUGAGGUCCCCAGGAUAAUUACAGGAGGUCACUGAUUAUUCUAGAUGAGCCAUUACCUGCACUACAAAGCCAGACCAAGCCAACCCCACUGAUGACUUGAUCUUUGCAGGUGUGAUACCCUCAAGCUUAGUGCCUUUCGGUGCCUUCUACUUUCCCCAGCACUGGCAGUGCAGGACACACACUGCUGUGGACCUUGGGGAGGCCCUGAUGCUGAUCCAGCUCUUGGCUUGGUUUGUUGCUGUCCCACAGCGAAACCUGCAUCCUGCAGGACUGUUCCCACAGCCGGUUCAGACGCUGCUGGCCUCUUGCCCACUGUAGCUCUGUACUCCAUAUCUUCUGCAUUGUGGAACUGAAUGUCCAGUACUAACAGCUCCUGACUGCAAAAUCCUGGGCUUAAUGCGGUGGGGAGGGGGUGGAGACACCCUUUCACAUGGAAAAUAUAUAUUUUCUAUGAAAUCAUA